UAGGGAAUCUUCGGCAAUGGGGGGAACCCUGACCGAGCAACGCCGCGUGAGUGAAGAAGGUUUUCGGAUCGUAAAGCCCUGUCGUUAAGGAAGAACGAGUGUGAGAAUGGAAAGUUCAUGCUGUGACGGCACUUAACCAGAAAGGGACGGCUAACUACGUGCCAGCAGCCGCGGUAAUACGUAGGUCCCGAGCGUUGUCCGGAUUUAUUGGGCGUAAAGCGAGCGCAGGCGGUUAGAAAAGUCUGAAGUGAAAGGCAGUGGCUCAACCAUUGUAUGCUUUGGAGGCUGUUUAACUUGAGUGCAGAAGGGGAGGGUGAAGUUCCAUGUGUAGCGGUGACAUGCGUAGAUGUAUGGAGGAACGCCGGUGGCGAAAGCGGCUCUCUGGUCUGUAACUGACGCUGAGGCUCGAAAGCGUGGGGAGCGAACAGG
This 429-nucleotide ribosomal RNA is filed under the name Bacteroidota bacterium. RNAcentral describes it as "Bacteroidetes bacterium partial 16S ribosomal RNA". It matches the Rfam family "Bacterial small subunit ribosomal RNA", at positions 355 to 776 of the family's 1533-position model. Lineage: Bacteria; Pseudomonadati; Bacteroidota. The record is from RNAcentral.